GCAAGUCGAGCGGAUGAGAAGAGCUUGCUCUUCGAUUCAGCGGCGGACGGGUGAGUAAUGCCUAGGAAUCUGCCUGGUAGUGGGGGACAACGUUUCGAAAGGAACGCUAAUACCGCAUACGUCCUACGGGAGAAAGCAGGGGACCUUCGGGCCUUGCGCUAUCAGAUGAGCCUAGGUCGGAUUAGCUAGUUGGUGAGGUAAUGGCUCACCAAGGCGACGAUCCGUAACUGGUCUGAGAGGAUGAUCAGUCACACUGGAACUGAGACACGGUCCAGACUCCUACGGGAGGCAGCAGUGGGGAAUAUUGGACAAUGGGCGAAAGCCUGAUCCAGCCAUGCCGCGUGUGUGAAGAAGGUCUUCGGAUUGUAAAGCACUUUAAGUUGGGAGGAAGGGCAUUAACCUAAUACGUUAGUGUUUUGACGUUACCGACAGAAUAAGCACCGGCUAACUCUGUGCCAGCAGCCGCGGUAAUACAGAGGGUGCAAGCGUUAAUCGGAAUUACUGGGCGUAAAGCGCGCGUAGGUGGUUUGUUAAGUUGGAUGUGAAAGCCCCGGGCUCAACCUGGGAACUGCAUCCAAAACUGGCAAGCUAGAGUACGGUAGAGGGUGGUGGAAUUUCCUGUGUAGCGGUGAAAUGCGUAGAUAUAGGAAGGAACACCAGUGGCGAAGGCGACCACCUGGACUGAUACUGACACUGAGGUGCGAAAGCGUGGGGAGCAAACAGGAUUA
This 728-nucleotide ribosomal RNA is filed under the name uncultured Pseudomonadales bacterium. RNAcentral describes it as "bacterial SSU rRNA". It matches the Rfam family "Bacterial small subunit ribosomal RNA", at positions 57 to 780 of the family's 1533-position model. Lineage: Bacteria; Pseudomonadati; Pseudomonadota; Gammaproteobacteria; Pseudomonadales. The record is from RNAcentral.